This 433-nucleotide ribosomal RNA is filed under the name uncultured bacterium. Its description in RNAcentral is "partial 16S ribosomal RNA". It matches the Rfam family "Bacterial small subunit ribosomal RNA", at positions 29 to 507 of the family's 1533-position model. The record is from RNAcentral.
AACGAACGCUGGCGGCAUGCCUAACACAUGCAAGUCGAACGAGACCUUCGGGUCUAGUGGCGCACGGGUGCGUAACGCGUGGGAACCUGCCCUUAGGUUCGGAAUAACUCCCCGAAAGGGGUGCUAAUACCGGAUAAUGUCUUCGGACCAAAGAUUUAUCGCCUUUGGAUGGGCCCGCGUUGGAUUAGCUAGUUGGUAGGGUAAAAGCCUACCAAGGCGACGAUCCAUAGCUGGUCUGAGAGGAGGAUCAGCCACACUGGGACUGAGACACGGCCCAGACUCCUACGGGAGGCAGCAGUGGGGAAUAUUGGACAAUGGGCGAAAGCCUGAUCCAGCAAUGCCGCGUGAGUGAUGAAGGCCUUAGGGUUGUAAAGCUCUUUUACCCGGGAUGAUAAUGACAGUACCGGGAGAAUAAGCUCCGGCUAACUACGUG